ACUAGAUUAGCCCAGUUGGUUAGAGCAUGAGACUCUUAAUCUCAGGGUAAUGGGUUCGAUUCCCAGGUUUGGCA
This is a non-coding RNA of Podarcis lilfordi (Lilford's wall lizard), 74 nucleotides long. The record is from the annotation of a GenBank genome assembly. Lineage: Eukaryota; Metazoa; Chordata; Lepidosauria; Squamata; Lacertidae.